AAAAAAGGUAAGCUACUAAGAGCGAAUGGUGGAUGCCUUGACUGGUAAAGGCGAUGAAGGACGUACUAGACUGCGAUAAGCUACGGGGAGCUGUCAAGAAGCUUUGAUCCGUAGAUUUCCGAAUGGGGCAACCCAAUGUAUAGAGAUAUACAUUACCUAUAUAGGAGCGAACGAGGGGAAUUGAAACAUCUUAGUACCCUCAGGAAAAGAAAUCAAUAGAGAUUGCGUCAGUAGCGGCGAGCGAAAGCGCAAGAGGGCAAACCCAGUGCUUGCACUGGGGGUUGUAGGACUGCAAUGUGCAAGAGGUGAGUUUAGCAGAACAUUCUGGAAAGUAUAGCCAUAGAGGGUGAUAGUCCCGUAUGCGAAAAACAAACCUUAGCUAGCAGUAUCCUGAGUAGGGCGGGACACGAGAAAUCCUGUCUGAAGCUGGGUCGACCACGAUCCAACCCUAAAUACUAAUACCAGAUCGAUAGUGCACAAGUACCGUGAGGGAAAGGUGAAAAGAACUGAGGUGAUCAGAGUGAAAUAGAACCUGAAACCAUUUGCUUACAAUCAUUCAGAGCCCUAUGUAGCAAUACAGGGUGAUGGACUGCCUUUUGCAUAAUGAGCCUGCGAGUUGUGGUGUCUGGCAAGGUUAAGCAAACGCGAAGCCGUAGCGAAAGCGAGUCUGAAUAGGGCGCUUAGUCAGAUGCUGCAGACCCGAAACGAAGUGAUCUAUCCAUGAGCAAGUUGAAGCUAGUGUAAGAACUAGUGGAGGACUGAACCCAUAGGCGUUGAAAAGCCCCGGGAUGACUUGUGGAUAGGGGUGAAAGGCCAAUCAAACUUCGUGAUAGCUGGUUCUCUCCGAAAUAUAUUUAGGUAUAGCGUUGUGUCGUAAUAUAAGGGGGUAGAGCACUGAAUGGGCUAGGGCAUACACCAAUGUACCAAACCCUAUCAAACUCCGAAUACCUUAUAUGUAAUCACAGCAGUCAGGCGGCGAGUGAUAAAAUCCGUCGUCAAGAGGGAAACAACCCAGACUACCAGCUAAGGUCCCUAAAUCUUACUUAAGUGGAAAACGAUGUGAAGUUACUUAAACAACCAGGAGGUUGGCUUAGAAGCAGCCAUCCUUUAAAGAAAGCGUAAUAGCUCACUGGUCUAGUGAUUUUGCGCGGAAAAUAUAACGGGGCUAAAGUAAGUACCGAAGCUGUAGACUUGCGCACAACUUAGAUUAUUUAAGUUUAGAAUAUGAGAAACUAAGUUAUAUGUUUAGUUAUAUUUUUACUGAUUUUUAUAGAGUAAAGAUAGAAAUAAAACUUAGUAAAAUCAGUAAAAAUAUUCUUAGACUAAAGUUAAGUAGUUUAAGUUGUGUGCAAGUGGUAGGAGAGCGUUCUAUUUGCGUCGAAGGUAUACCGGUAAGGAGUGCUGGAGCGAAUAGAAGUGAGCAUGCAGGCAUGAGUAGCGAUAAUUAAUGUGAGAAUCAUUAACGCCGUAAACCCAAGGUUUCCUACGCGAUGCUCGUCAUCGUAGGGUUAGUCGGGUCCUAAGUCGAGUCCGAAAGGGGUAGACGAUGGCAAAUUGGUUAAUAUUCCAAUACCAACAUUAGUGUGCGAUGGAAGGACGCUUAGGGCUAAGGGGGCUAGCGGAUGGAAGUGCUAGUCUAAGGUCGUAGGAGGUUAUACAGGCAAAUCCGUAUAACAAUACUCCGAGAACUGAAAGGCUUUUUGAAGUCUUCGGAUGGAUAGAAGAACCCCUGAUGCCGUCGAGCCAAGAAAAGUUUCUAAGUUUAGCUAAUGUUGCCCGUACCGUAAACCGACACAGGUGGGUGGGAUGAGUAUUCUAAGGCGCGUGGAAGAACUCUCUUUAAGGAACUCUGCAAAAUAGCACCGUAUCUUCGGUAUAAGGUGUGGUUCGCUUCGUAUUAGGAUUUACUCCGAAAGCGAAGAAACUUACAACAAAGAGUCCCUCCCGACUGUUUACCAAAAACACAGCACUCUGCUAACUCGUAAGAGGAUGUAUAGGGUGUGACGCCUGCCCGGUGCUCGAAGGUUAAUUGAUGGGGUUAGCAUUAGCGAAGCUCUUGAUCGAAGCCCGAGUAAACGGCGGCCGUAACUAUAACGGUCCUAAGGUAGCGAAAUUCCUUGUCGGUUAAAUACCGACCUGCAUGAAUGGCGUAACGAGAUGGGAGCUGUCUCAAAGAGGGAUCCAGUGAAAUUGUAGUGGAGGUGAAAAUUCCUCCUACCCGCGGCAAGACGGAAAGACCCCGUGGACCUUUACUACAGCUUGACACUGCUAUUUGGAUAAGAAUGUGCAGGAUAGGU
This 2297-nucleotide ribosomal RNA is filed under the name Campylobacter coli. RNAcentral describes it as "partial 23S ribosomal RNA". It matches the Rfam family "Bacterial large subunit ribosomal RNA", at positions 1 to 2148 of the family's 2925-position model. The record is from RNAcentral. Lineage: Bacteria; Pseudomonadati; Campylobacterota; Epsilonproteobacteria; Campylobacterales; Campylobacteraceae.